RNAcentral lists this ribosomal RNA (492 nucleotides) under uncultured bacterium. RNAcentral describes it as "partial 16S ribosomal RNA". It matches the Rfam family "Bacterial small subunit ribosomal RNA", at positions 29 to 507 of the family's 1533-position model. The record is from RNAcentral.
AGUGAACGCUGGCGGUAGGCCUAACACAUGCAAGUCGAACGGCAGCACAGUAAGAGCUUGCUCUUACGGGUGGCGAGUGGCGGACGGGUGAGGAAUACAUCGGAAUCUACUUUUUCGUGGGGGAUAACGUAGGGAAACUUACGCUAAUACCGCAUACGACCUACGGGUGAAAGCAGGGGAUCUUCGGACCUUGCGCGAUUGAAUGAGCCGAUGUCGGAUUAGCUAGUUGGCGGGGUAAAGGCCCACCAAGGCGACGAUCCGUAGCUGGUCUGAGAGGAUGAUCAGCCACACUGGAACUGAGACACGGUCCAGACUCCUACGGGAGGCAGCAGUGGGGAAUAUUGGACAAUGGGCGCAAGCCUGCUCCAGCCAUACCGCGUGGGUGAAGAAGGCCUUCGGGUUGUAAAGCACUUUUGUUGGGAAAGAAAAGCAGCAGGUUAAUACCCCGCUGUUCUGACGGUACCCAAAGAAUAAGCACCGGCUAACUUCGUG